UAGGGAAUAUUAGAAAUGGGCGAAAGCCUGAUGCAGCAACGCCGCGUGCGCGAUGACGGCCUUCGGGUUGUAAAGCGCUUUUCGGGGAGAUGAGGAAGGACAGUAUCCCCGGAAUAAGGCUCGGCUAACUACGUGCCAGCAGCCGCGGUAACACGUAGGAGCCAAGCGUUAUCCGAAUUCACUGGGCGUAAAGCGCGUGUAGGCGGCUUGGUAAGUUGGAUGUGAAAGCUCCUGGCUCAACUGGGAGAGGACGUUCAAUACUGCCGGGCUAGAGGGCGACAGAGGGAGGUGGAAUUCCCGGUGUAGUGGUGAAAUGCGUAGAUAUCGGGAGGAACACCAGUGGCGAAAGCGGCCUCCUGGGUCGCACCUGACGCUCAGACGCGAAAGCUAGGGGAGCGAACGG
This 403-nucleotide ribosomal RNA is filed under the name uncultured bacterium. Its description in RNAcentral is "bacterial SSU rRNA". It matches the Rfam family "Bacterial small subunit ribosomal RNA", at positions 355 to 775 of the family's 1533-position model. The record is from RNAcentral.